UCCUGAUGGCUUAGAUGGUAAAGAAUCUGCCUGCAAUGCAGGAGACCUGAGUUCAAUCCCUAGGUUAGGAA
Molecule: transfer RNA, 71 nt
Filed under: Bos taurus (domestic cattle)
Lineage: Eukaryota; Metazoa; Chordata; Mammalia; Artiodactyla; Bovidae
Also listed under: 4 other names
Rfam family: tRNA
About the family: Transfer RNA (tRNA) molecules are approximately 80 nucleotides in length. Their secondary structure includes four short double-helical elements and three loops (D, anti-codon, and T loops). Further hydrogen bonds mediate the characteristic L-shaped molecular structure. tRNAs have two regions of fundamental functional importance: the anti-codon, which is responsible for specific mRNA codon recognition, and the 3' end, to which the tRNAs corresponding amino acid is attached (by aminoacyl-tRNA synthetases). tRNAs cope with the degeneracy of the genetic code in two manners: having more than one tRNA (with a specific anti-codon) for a particular amino acid; and 'wobble' base-pairing, i.e. permitting non-standard base-pairing at the 3rd anti-codon position.
Source: Rfam by way of RNAcentral